UACGUAGGAGACGAGCGUUGUCCGGAGUUACUGGGCGUAAAGGGGGCGCAGGGGGCGGCGCGGGUGGGGGGUGAAAUCGCCCGGCUUAACUGGGCGGGGGCCUUCCAGACGGCGUGGCUUGAGCAGCGGAGGGGGACGUGGAAUUCCACGUGUAGCGGUGAAAUGCGUAGAGAUGUGGAGGAACACCAGUGGCGAAGGCGGCUCUCUGGUCUGUAACUGACGCUGAGGCGCGAAAGCGUGGGGAGCGAACAGG
RNAcentral lists this ribosomal RNA (253 nucleotides) under uncultured bacterium. RNAcentral's name for it is "partial 16S ribosomal RNA". It matches the Rfam family "Bacterial small subunit ribosomal RNA", at positions 524 to 776 of the family's 1533-position model. The record is from RNAcentral.